RNAcentral lists this ribosomal RNA (253 nucleotides) under uncultured bacterium. RNAcentral's name for it is "partial 16S ribosomal RNA". It matches the Rfam family "Bacterial small subunit ribosomal RNA", at positions 524 to 776 of the family's 1533-position model. The record is from RNAcentral.
GACAGAGGUCCCGAGCGUUAGGCGGAAUCACUGGGCUUAAAGCGUGUGUAGGCGGAUGCCUAAGUACCUUGUGAAAUCCCAUGGCUCAACCAUGGAACUGCUUGGUAUACUGGGUGUCUUGAGCCAAUUAGGGGCUACCGGAACAAGUGGUGGAGCGGUGAAAUGCGUAGAUAUCACUUGGAACGCCAAUGGUGAAGACAGUCUGCUGGGGAUUUGCUGACGCUGAGACACGAAAGCCAGGGGAGCGAACGGG